Melospiza melodia melodia is the source of this 1819-nucleotide long non-coding RNA. RefSeq lists it as uncharacterized. NCBI's taxonomy places the organism in Eukaryota, Metazoa, Chordata, Aves, Passeriformes, Passerellidae. The transcript is spliced from 3 exons. The record is from RefSeq and is a predicted model, not a curated record.
AGAGGAGGAUGGGGAGAGGCUCCUUUCCACAGCUGAGCAGCACAGAAACGUUUCUGCAAGUUUGGAGCAAAGGGAUGUUACCUGGGAGGAAGCACUGAGCACAGGCAAGGAUCCAUUGCAAAGCACGUCCAGUAAAGGAAGACCUUUAUUCUUUCUUACUCACAAGAAAUAUCUGUCAAGUCACUGAGUGGUUUGAUUGAAUGAGAGCAGUGAAACUGCUUUCUAUGGUGGAAGAUUUUUAAAAAGAGAGGCUCUGAACUGAACGACUACCCCCUGACAACUCUGUAGAAAGGAACAUAGGCAAAAUUGAGCCAUGGGGUUCUAAAGCUAAAAUCUUAAAAGUUCCCUUGACCCUAUAUCUGAUCCCAGGAGCCUUUGAGAGUCUCUGAGUUGGCACCUCAAAUUUUGGCCAGCACCUGAAAUUAUGCUUUUUCCACUGAAACAGGCUGAAGUCUAGACAGGACUCAAGUACCUUGACAGGUAGCCCCAUGUUAGCCUGACCAUUCCCCCUAAUAUUAAUAAACUUUAACACGUAUUUCUCCUGUGGUGAAAUAAUCCCCUCCCAUGUGCUGGAAGCGCCAACCAUCUGCCAAGGAAAUCAGCCCUCGGUGAGAAAGUGCCCUGUGUCCAACUCACUCUGCUUGCCUGUCUCUGGGAGAACAGCCCAGCAGCAGCAGUGCUUGGGCUCUGCUCUUCCUGGGCUCCUGUUUUAUCAUGAGCAAUGUGAAUGCUUUGCAAUGGUUUCAGCAAAUGCACCAAAUGAGGACUGCGUUGUGACAACUGUUGGGAGACGGUGCUUGGGUUUUGUAUUCUCAGAGAUGCUGAGGGACUGGAGGAGCCUGGCAAAUCUACAGUGCAGAGGGCAAAUAACCAACCUGGUGUGGCUGGCUGAAAUUUGCCUGUGUUGUCUGGCUGGUUUAGAGGGUUCCCUGCCCUGAACCUUCUUUUGGGGACUGGGUUGCUGUCCCAGAAGAAGUUCUUCUGGAGCUGUAAAUGCAGUCCCAUGCAGCAGCACAGCUGCCAGCUGGCCUAUAUUGCCAAGCAGAGCUGCUUGCUGGGGCUCACAUGCUUUAAAGUCUUAGCCUGGGUCUCAGUGGAAACAAGGAGGAGAAUGAUUUGACACACAUUCCCCUGAUUUGACAUACUGUGUGCUUACAACAUGGUGUGUCCUCCACAGGAAAUCCAAAGUACAUGUUGCUGUGCAGGCACAAAUCUGACUGUUCCCGAUAAACUGUUCAUGUGGAAAGAUACAAUUUUCAUGGUUGUCAUCAAAGCCAGUGUAUGUAUUCAUUUGUGGAAGCAUGUCAGACACCAUAUGUCACUAAUAUGCCUUUGAUAUGAUGGUGUCUGAAUCAUUUUUUUAACUAUCGAAUGGCAUAUGUUUAAAUGUAAGCAUCUGUUCUGUGUUUGUACUGACUCUAUUAUUUAUUCUUUAUUUCUUAUUUUCUUUUGACUAAAAGUUUGAUUUAAACCUAGAAAAAGUGUGGGAUUCAUCUUAUUUUUAAAGAAGUAGAAUUUUGGUAGUAUUUCAGCAUGUGGCCAAUGUGUAUCUUCUCAAGGACGAGAAGGUAAUUUAAAAGAUAAUUUUUCUCUUUUCAGUAAUCAGAAAAAAAUCAGUUCCCAGGCAAAACAAAGAUUAUAUUUGGAUUAUAUUUGACUACAAGUUUGUUAAAUGAAAAAAAUAUUGUUUUAGUGUUGAGCAGGUUCUGCAAUGUAUGGAUUUGCUGAAAAUAAGUCCUUGUAAGAGCCAUAUGUUACACCAUGAUGACAGUAAAUUGGUUCUAUGCAGAAACUUUUCUGAUUCAGUUAAAGAACUUGC